Long non-coding RNA from Daphnia pulicaria, 957 nucleotides. RefSeq lists it as uncharacterized. The transcript is spliced from 3 exons. The record is from RefSeq and is a predicted model, not a curated record. Lineage: Eukaryota; Metazoa; Arthropoda; Branchiopoda; Diplostraca; Daphniidae.
CUUUUGGAUGUUGUACUUUUGGAUCGUCGUCUACGACUACUUUUUUUGUCCUAGUUUCCCAAUUCACCACGCAACUCUCCCCACAGCUUCAUUUCGGCAGGGAGUUUUUCAGAAUAAUCGGAUCGUUGACUGGCCUUAUCUUAUCUUGACUGACAAAGAAAUAGAAGGCUAAUUUCUGAUGAAAUCCAGUUGAUGAUUGAAUGGCGACUCCACCAAGUCCCAUCAUCGGCGAACGCCGCCCACUCUGACAUUUUUAGGUGGUGACCUGUAUUCGCGAAGCUGACUCACUUGGGCCGUUGUAUUCUUGGGAUAUAGUAGUUUACAUGGCCACUUUGGCCAGGGGAACUGAUACCGUGAAGCUAUGGACUGCCAUGUGAAAGAAAAGACCUAUCUCUAAAUGACAACUGGGGGAUUGCAGCUGCGAAACGUGGAAAUCCAGGGGGAAAAAGAAUCGGAAAUAAUUUCCCCUCUGAGAUUAACUUCUAGACCGACUGGAUUUAUCUAUUGUAUGUACAAUAACGAAUGUGUAACCAGCGCUGGCUUCUACAGAAGAUCAGGUAAGAAAUAAAUUCUGUCAACUUGUUUUUUUUACAUUAAAACAACCAAACAUGUAGCGCGGUAUUUUGUAAAUUAAUAUUCGUUGGUGUUAAUCGAUCAAAAGGUUGACAAAAAAUUGAGGUUACGCUAAUUUUCUUUGCAUUGCUUUAAGCUCAUUCAUGUCACACCGUAAAACAAUGCGAUAUCUUUGAAAGCCAAACAAAACAACAACUCCCCUAGUUGCCCCAGUCGAUGUUGUAUGUCAGUGACGCAUCGCAGUGCGGUUAUAUGGGCCAGUCUCACGACUCGGGAAUAUUCUUUCAAUUCUCGCUGCUGCUGCUGUAGUUGUCGAGCGCCUCCCGCUCCCGGCGUUUGCCAAGUGCCACCUCACUGAGCGCCACGCAUUUUAUAACGCUGAUG